AGGGAUGUAGCUUAGAUGGUAGAGCGCUUGCUUAGCAUGCGAGAGAUAUGGAGAUCGAUACCCUGCAUCUCCA
Transfer RNA from Ipomoea nil (Japanese morning glory), 73 nucleotides. It matches the Rfam family "tRNA". Rfam says of the family: Transfer RNA (tRNA) molecules are approximately 80 nucleotides in length. NCBI's taxonomy places the organism in Eukaryota, Viridiplantae, Streptophyta, Magnoliopsida, Solanales, Convolvulaceae. The record is from Rfam.